CAGCUCUCAGUUUUGUGCCCGUCUUAUUGCCGCUCUCAUUGUCUUUGUCGGCAGUGAUAAAGAGAGCAGUUCAUUCGGGGGCCUGUUUUUGGAAUAAGAAAAAGGCAUUGCUGUUUUCUGACUUUGAGUGAAGAAAGAAGGGACUCCUCUGGAAUUUCCUAAGGAAUUUAUUCGGACAGCCCAUGUUGCGAGGGCUUUGCAUUCUUCCGCCUGGGUAUAGAGUAAGUAGUACUUUUUCUUUUCGUAUUCUGUCAAUUGCAGCCGAGAGCGGCUCGUCAUGUUUUCCAUGUGUGGAAUAAAGUGUCGUUUUUUUCUGUGUCCGCUCCAAGUUCUGUGUCGUGCCGCGAUGUGAGUAGGAGCCCGGGGUGUUUUUUUUUUUAAAUUUCAUUUUUUUGCACAUCUUUGCUUUGGAGGGAUGUUGUGGAGAAUGUGGCGCAAACGCAACGUGCACCGGGCUGCCGCUCGCUGUUACACUCCAGAUGGCGGCGAGAUAUUUAACAGAAUUUAUAUCGUCAACAUUUAUAACACGUACUGCGCUCACACGGACACACAAAAUAGAAAUAGAGAGAGAGACAGGGGGAGAGAGCCAUCUUUGCCCCGAACGAUGCUCUGCCCGCUCCGGAGGAUGCGCGGGCACGCAUAAACAAGCUGGAAAUGUGUGCGUGUGUGUUAAGGGGGGGUUAUUCUGUGCCAUAGUUGUGGGACGUGUUGAGAAAGUUUGGUGUAAUAUUUGCUUCUGCAAACUGAGACGAUUUGCUUAGUCUAUCUAUGAAUGCAUGCGUGCGUGCGUGUGUGCGCGCGCGUUGAUGCGUGCCCAAGAGCUCCUGACUCAGGUGGUGUAGCCGGUGGGUGGGCUGUGACUCACCCAGUUUACCCAUUUUGCUGCUGUUAUCUGACAGGCUUUGAUGCCAGAUUUGACUGGUGACUGACAGUGGCUCAUGCGCAGUAGUGUGUCAGGACAUGCCUGUGUUUUUUGUUUUGUUUUUUUUUAUUUUUUUAUUUCCUCCCUCCAUCACUGCCUGAUUUGGGCGUUCCAUAAUUUAUGCGAUCCCUUUCCUGCGUUAAAGAGUUUUUCUUUUUUUCAGACUACUACUGACAAGUGAUUCAUAUAUAGCCAAUUACCCGUGAUUUGCACUCAUACUUUGCAGCCCGAGGGAAAAAAAAGAAAAGUGGAAAGCCUCUAAAAAGCAAGAUAAUGAAGUGAAAAGUUUGUGGUUCCUCGGUAUUUUGUAGCAAAGAGAAGCAUUCGCAAAUGAGGGCAAGGACAGCCAGUCAGAGAGAUGUGUCUUCGCUGGCUAGUGUAGAGUGACAGGGGGCUAAGUGAGCAUGACCAUCAAGGAGAGGUAAUAGCAUUACGGUCUGCCAGUCAUGAGGCAGUGCAAGAGAUACUGUUGCAUUUCAAAAGGAACUAAAUGGGUAAGCAGAGGAAACUGUGACACAGGGUCCACUAAAAUGUAACGCAUAAAAAAGGCACUAAUGUGGCUCAGCAACACAGUUUUUAUUCAUGCAGAUGAGUUUG
Long non-coding RNA from Astatotilapia calliptera (eastern happy), 1519 nucleotides. Lineage: Eukaryota; Metazoa; Chordata; Actinopteri; Cichliformes; Cichlidae. The record is from Ensembl.